CAGCGACUUAUAUUCUGUAGCAAGGUUAACCGAAUAGGGGAGCCGGAGGGAAACCGAGUCUUAAUUGGGCGUUAAGUUGCAGGGUAUAGACCCGAAACCCGGUGAUCUAGCCAUGGGCAGGUUGAAGGUUGGGUAACACUAACUGGAGGACCGAACCGACUAAUGUUGAAAAAUUAGCGGAUGACCUGUGGCUGGGGGUGAAAGGCCAAUCAAACCGGGAGAUAGCUGGUUCUCCCCGAAAGCUAUUUAGGUAGCGCCUCGUGAAUUCAUCUCCGGGGGUAGAGCACUGUUUCGGCUAGGGGGCCAUCCCGGCUUACCAACCCGAUGCAAACUGCGAAUACCGGAGAAUGUUAUCACGGGAGACACACGGCGGGUGCUAACGUCCGUCGUGAAGAGGGAAACAACCCAGACCGCCAGCUAAGGUCCCAAAGUCAUGGUUAAGUGGGAAACGAUGUGGGAAGGCCCAGACAGCCAGGAUGUUGGCUUAGAAGCAGCCAUCAUUUAAAGAAAGCGUAAUAGCUCACUGGUCGAGUCGGCCUGCGCGGAAGAUGUAACGGGGCUAAACCAUGCACCGAAGCUGCGGCAGCGACACUGUGUGUUGUUGGGUAGGGGAGCGUUCUGUAAGCCUGCGAAGGUGGCCUGUGA
RNAcentral lists this ribosomal RNA (645 nucleotides) under Salmonella enterica subsp. enterica serovar Enteritidis. RNAcentral describes it as "partial 23S ribosomal RNA". It matches the Rfam family "Bacterial large subunit ribosomal RNA", at positions 621 to 1266 of the family's 2925-position model. The record is from RNAcentral. Lineage: Bacteria; Pseudomonadati; Pseudomonadota; Gammaproteobacteria; Enterobacterales; Enterobacteriaceae.